AAAUCCAUAAGCGGUGACACCCUUCAAAGAAGUGAGGGUCUGGAAUGCCUCAGCUGGAACAUCAGCAAAGUAGGUCUCAACAAGAACAUUCAAGCCAGACAGAGUUGACUCUAGCUCGGCAUAAGCCUCACUGAAUGCAUGCAAUUUGUGUGAGUCAAGAUCCAUAACAAGCAAUGGCUCAUCAAACUGAAUCCAGGAAGCACCAGCAGCCUUAAGCUCAGAAAUAACUUCCCUGCAGAAGUGUUAAUUGGUACAACACAGAUUAAUGAUGUCACUCGAUAUAUACACACAGAGUUAUUUAGCACAUACACAUUUAUAAAUCAGUAAUAGGUGAUAAUUUCUUACUUGUAGAUUGGAAGGAUUUUCGGAAGAAGAGAAAGAAGAGAAAAGGUCUUCGCAACACCCUUGGCAGGCUUAGACAGCAACAAGUAUGACACAGGGCCAAUAAGCACUGGGACAGUUUCAACUCCAAGCUGCAGCAUUAGACAAGUGAUCGAUAUUAGCAUCUCACAAACUUGAUCUGAUUGAUAGAAAGUUACAAGCAAGUUCAGAAUUCGUUUAAUGAAAUCUCUAUGAAAAAUCUUCAGGGUCCACAAUGUGUUGAAAGUACCCUUUUCAAGUAAUUUAUCUUAAGACUAUUUUGCAAACAGUAUUGCUUUCCUUACAGAUCAAAUAAAUCAAACAACAUAUGAACACAUUUACUGAACCAAGUCUAAGUUCAAAGCUCUAUAAAUAAAUGUCAAUGAAUCUAUAGUAAAUUCUAUUGCAUCCUAAGCUAAAGAUGAGCAUAUCAUAUAAGAAUUUCAAGGUGAACGUAACCCAAUUUCAAUAUAUUGUAGAUUCAGAUAUCAAACGAAAUAAAAUUUGUAAAUAUAGACAGAACUGAGAAUAAACACUCACCCCCUUAGCCUCCUUGUACUCAGUCACAGCCUUGUGGGAAGCGUAGGAGAACUUAACAUCGGGUCCCAAUUCAGGAACAAUGAAAUGACUGCAUCAACACGAAGCCAAACACGCGUCAGCAUUCAGUACAAAACCAUUACACCAUAAAUAACUUGAAAUGCCGCUCUUCCAAGUAGUGAAUACUUACUAGUUGGUGUCGAACCACUUGGUCAUUUCCAUAGCGGGAACAGAGGCGUUUCCUCUGGCCAUGGAGAAGUAAACAUCAAAUCCAAUCUCGCCGCCGUUCCAGUUAUACCUCGGGGGCACGGCACCGAGCAUUGCGGUGGUGUCGAGCACUUGGUCGUAGUAGGAGAAAGUGUUGCUGGGAAUGUAUUUGAUCCCGGCCUGGGACAUCUGUUUCCAGAUGGAGGAUCUGAGAUCAGCGGACACCUUUUGCAAAUCCUCAGCGCUGCUCUUGCCAUCCCAGAAGGAUUCCAACGCGAACUUGAGCUCCCUCUUGGGGCCCAUGCGUGGGUAUCCAACGAUGUGAGAUGCCAUUUUACUGUCAUAAUCACGUCAUCAAUGAAUCGAAAAUCAGUCACUUUCAUUAAAUCAAGAAAAUAUUCAUUCAAAUGGAUGGGUCAUUGCUAUUACUGCUCAAAUCAAAUGAAAUCAAGAACACUUAUCAGAGCAUAAAAUCUUAAAUUAAUUUUUUUAUAAAAAAAUAAAAAACCAGUUGAAACAAGCUGAUAAUAAUCCAAGAGUUUGAGAUGAUUUUUUUCUUUCUGUAAUCACAUGAACAAUUAUGUACUUUCAGUCAUUUUUGAAGGAUUAAAACAAAAAAUUCUACAAAUAGAUUCUGAAAAGAAGAAUCUAAAAAUAGAUUCAAAAACAGUAACACAAGUAGAGUUCAAAUUGUUUUUCGGAAAAGAUUAAUUACAGAUCUGAUUGAUUCACGUUCAGAUCUAGCAAAAUCACGGCAGCCAAACACUAGAUCUAACACUAACAGUCACUCACCAGUCCAUUAGAAAAUGAAAUCAAGUUCAAAAUUCUUUUAAAGUUAAUUCUUUUUUAGAAAAUGACCAGAUUUUAGUUGAGUAUUAGUGAGUUUUUUACAAAAUAAUUUAUUUUUGUUUUUUAGAUCCAAAAGUUCGGAAAUCAAAACCAUGUUCAAUGCUUAUUCAUGAUUAACGGCGUAAAAACGCUACUGCAGAGAAGACAUAACGAAAAUGGGAACCGUACCAAACAGAGAAAGAAGAGCAGAGAAAUUGAGAGUCGAGAGGAGAGAGAGAAGAGAGCGGCGAGUUUGGGGGAGUGCCCUCUCCGUUAUUUAUAGCCAAAAAUCAAAUCUGGUUUGGUGGUUGCCUUUGGCGUGCCAACCUGUAGAUCUGAGAUUUUUCAUCUUAAUUUCUUUCUCUUAUUUAUUUAUUUAUUUAUUAUGAUUUUCAGUGCAGUUCAUAAAAUAUAGAGCUGACGCGCGCUUUUCUGAUGUGGCGCGUGAAUUGGAAAUGCGGUAGGUCUUUGUGGGCCCCACGGCACGGUCAGGACUGAAGGAAAAAUGUGAGAAGUUAUCAUAAUUUCAACAGUGCCAUAAUUAGCAAUUACACCACCAAAUAUUUCUUGAGUUUUUUUUUUUUGAUUGCUUUAAAUGCAGAGUUGUUAUGAAUUGUGUUAAUUGUAGAGUUGUUAUGAUUAGAUUACAUUAUAAUUCGUCACAAUUAUGAUAGGUAUGUACGUAUAUAAUAAUUUAUGAGUAAUGAUAUAACCACAAACUCUUAUACAAACUUAUUUUGUACAAAUUGAUGUGGCAUGAUAAAAUUAGUUGAAUUAAAUAUUACUUGAUCCACAUGAUUUGUUAUUAUUAUUUUAUAUUUUCAUUCAACCAAUGAAUUAAUGACACGUCAGUUUGUACAAGAUAAGUUUGUACAAGAGUUUAUGGUUGUAUCAUCACUCAUAAUUUAUAUAAGAUCUCGAAUAUUUAAAAAAUUUAUAAAUCAUUAUUUUCAUGUACAUUUACCUGGUAGCAAUGACAAUAACAUAAAAUAAACUCCAAACAAGAAUGGAUUAUAUUAUUUAUGUUAUUUUAUAGCUUUUUAAUUGAUUUUUAAAAGGAUUAAUUGUUAAUCAUUACUCUCCAACCGUAAUCACCAUUAAAUAUUUAUUUAAUUUAAUAGUCGGUAGAUCAUAAAUAAGAUUAGAAUAUUUAAUGGACAAUCUAAUUGCUACUACAAUUGUUAUCAUUUUUUUAAGGUAAGGGAUUAGACAAUACUCAAAUUUAUUUUUUAACCCCUUACUCCCUAAAGAUUCGAAUUUAACUAACUAAUUAAAUAAGACUGCUUAAAAACCACUCAACCACAUCUUUUGGGGACCAAUUAAUAUCGAUGUUUAAACUGAGGUUUAUUAUUAAAUUUUUUAAGUUUCAAGUUUCAACCGCUAACAACAUUAUCAUCGAUUAAUGAUAAAUAUAAUAAUAUUUCAUCAAAAAACCAUUUAACACAUCCAUCCAUAUUAAACAUAAGUAAAAAAUUUAUCAUGCAUUUCAAAUAUAUUUUUCAUCCUAAAAGUUAUGGAGAAAAUCUUGAUAUCAAAACUUACAAUGUAAUUAUGGGAUGUAAUUUUGCAUUUGAGGUCAGCACAACUUAAAAAUUACUAUGAAUGAAAAUUUAUAAUAAGCAGACACCACAAAAAAAAAUUAUUUAUAAGUAUUACAAUCAUGCAGUUUUAUUUAAGUAUUUAACCAAGUCAUUCAAUUUCUAAUUAAGACGGUAUAAAUUAGAUUUGGGCUGCCUAAGACCAAAAGUCAAAAAAAAAAAAAGAAUAUUCCUAAUAAGCAGCCUACCGCGGUCACGCGCCUUAAGAAACGCUUGGACUUAGCACACGAUUUUAAUCCAAAAUGUAUAAAAAAGGAAAAAUUUAUGAGGUGUAUAAUUAUCUUGAGUUGUUAUAUUUUGAAGAAACAAUGAAGAAAGUUGGUGGCCGAAGUUGAUCCGGGGCGAAUGGUGGUGGGCCCACGUUGUUGCAUUAUAAUUGGAGUUAUUGUAAUUUUUCUUAUAAUUAAUAAACUCCAUUUUUCAAAGAAAAUAAAUAAAUAAAUACACUCCCGAUUACGAAAAUAUCAUUUCAUGAGUGUCAAAGUUAGAGCUGGCAAAAUUUGACACGACCCGAUUACCUGACACGAACACGACAUAAAUAAAUAAGUAUGGAUCGUCAAAUUUAACACGAUUAUUAAAUGGGUCGGGUCUGGGUCAACACAAUUUUUUUCCGUGUCGGGUUUGGGUUAAAAUUCUUGACCCAUUUACCCGAUCAAUGACCCGAUUAUAUUUUCUAUUUUAAAAUAAUUUACAUAUUCUUAUAAUUAAAACUCAAAUAUUAGAGAUAUUUUUUUUAUUCUUUAAAAUGGUGAAUAUAAACACAGUGUUUUAUUUAUAAAAUUUUACAUACAUUUAGAGCUUCAAUAGUGUAAAUGUGUAAAAAUUAAUAGACAUGUAUAUUUUAUAAUAUUGAUAUAUAAUAUUAUAUAUAUAUAAUUAAAACAUCAAUAGUGUAAAUGUGUAAUAUAUUGGUAGAUAUAUAUAUUUUAUAAUAUCGAUAAAUUAUGUAUGUAUGUAUUUAUGUACAUACGUAUGUAUGUAUUUAUGUAUAUACGUAUGUAUGUAUUUAUGUACAUACGUAUGUAUGAUAGUGUGUAAAUAUUUUAUGUAACUUUUGUUCAAUAUAUAGAUAUUAAACGGGUUAUUGGGUAACCCGAUUGUUUUUCCGUGUCGGGUUUGGGUCUCAAUAUUUUGACACGAUUAUUAAAUGGGUCGGGUUUGGGUCGACCUAAAUUUGACACGACACGACACGAACACGACCCGAUGACCCGUUUUGCCAGCUCUAGUCAAAGUGACCGUCACCUACGCAUCGCGUUUGUUGGGCGGGGUGGGUAAGGUGGGGCGAGGAGUUUGUUUGAUCGUCUGAUUACUUUGAUUUUGAUGAAACGUAUGGACGACGGCGAUGGCUUGCCAGCAAGUGGGUUUAUCAUGAUUUUGAUUGUAUUCGGGGAGAUGCUUAUGUAUAUCCUCAAAACUUCUUGGAAAUGAAAACCGCUGGGGUGGCAAAUCUUGACCAAUAAAGUGUGCGUGAUGUUGCGUUUAUAAAUUUCAAUAAUACUAUUGGCCGAUUGAGAUUAUUUUUAAAAAGUUUAAAAAUAAUUUUUAAAGGUUAAAUGUUAAUUUUAAUAUUGAAUAAAUUUUUAAAAAUUAUUUUUGAUAAAAUCAUUUUAUCCUCCAAUAAAUUUUAAAAAAUAGCGAUACAGUAAUUUUUUAAAAUCUAAUUUUAAUAAUCAAAACUAUUUUUUUAUAUAAUUUUAUAGAUAUCCGCAUAUAUAUAUUAUAAAAAUUCGAAAUCAUUAUUAUUAAUUAGGAAAUAAAAUCAUUAACUUUUAAGAAAUUAUUAUUAUUACCAAUUAUACUGACAUAACAAAAUAAAAAAUUAAUUAAUAUUAUAAAUAUUUAUUUCAGUUAUCAACUAUUAUAUAUACACAAUAAAAAAUAUUUUAUAUACAUAUUUAUAAAUGUAUAAAUAAUUUUUAUUCAAUAUUAUAUCGAAUUAAUCAUUUACAUUCUUGCAACAAGUUAACAAUAAAAUUUACCAAACACAUACGAUUGUUUUUAAAACUCAUAUUAUUUUUUUAAAAAAAAAUUACUAAACCUUUAACUGAUUCUCUUACAACUGAUUAUUUCUACAGUACAAUUAACAACAAUUAUUUUAAAAACUAUAACAUUUUCAAACUAGCCCCAUGACAAUAUUGUUAUUGUUGUUUUUCUUACUCUUAUCAAUAAAACUACGUUGCACAUAAGUGCAUAAAAAUUCACACAAAAUAAACUAUUUAACUUUAGGGUAUUAAUUGAAAAAAAAAAUCAGAUUAAGGUGAAUAAAUAUCAGAAAAUAACAAAUAGAUAAACUCUCACACUCUUUAAAAAAAUUAAUUUUAUAAUUUUAUUUAAAACCAACAGAUAUUACCAAACUUAACGGAUCAAUGUUCCAAUGUUUUCUUUUUAAUUUCAAAACCAACAGAUAUUCUUUGUUCAUUAUAUGACCUCCAAACAAAUAAUUUCAUUAAUAAAAUAAUAAUGAAAAGUAUCGUGGUGAGUACAGAGUAAUUCGGUGGCUAAUAAAAGUCUCUAUUUUUCGUCUCUGUUUUUCAUUUUAACUCUUGGGGUUGGUGCCACUUCGGCCUUGGUCGGAGUGGUGGGCUGCUGCCCUCACAAGUAUUGUGAGGACAGUGGUUCAAGCCCCCACAAAUAUUUUUGUGGGGGCUAACGUACUUAUUUAUUUAAUAUUUCAAAAAUUUCUUCUCCCUCGUGCAAUACGAGUGGAGUAUGGACAUCCCUCCUCUAUAAGGGAUUAUUUGUCUGGGCAUGUACUUCACAGAAUUCAAUGUAAUAAUAUAAGUCUCAAUCAUAUAUUUUUGAUUGUAAAUAUCAAUAUAAUAUAUCUGCUAUAAUAGCAGUUGUAAAUAUCUGUGUAAUGCAAUAAUAUGAUAAUUAAUCAUUAUUCAAAAAAAAAACUCUUGGGGUUGGUAGGCUCGUGAAUGGUCCACGUAACCUCUGGACGUAACACUCAAACAAAGACAGCACAAGGCACAUGAAAAAUGCCUAAAAACCGUAAAACCGUGACGUGUUCAACAUAUUAAUAAAUUUAUACUGUGUUUUCUUUUUUUUUUUAAUACUGUGUUGAUAAAGCACUUACGAUGGAACGACCAAUUCUAUUACUUGCAAAACUAAUUAAUAUUUCACUCUAUCAUCUAACUAAUGGAAGGCCAUCUUAAUUGAGGUUGCAAUAGUUAGAAAGUAGCGGGAAGGGUGGCCAAUGCUCCAUAUUAAUUUGCAUCAAUCCCUUUCUGGUGAAGAAGUACGGGUGAAGUAGAGGUCAAAGUUAGAAGAUGAAGGGUGUGUUUGGGAAUUGAGAGUGAGGUGCUGUAGUUUUUUAGCUGCAGUUGCUGUGAAAUAAAAGUUAUAACUGUGGAAUAGAAGUUGAGAAAAAAAAUUUGUUAAGCUGCCAAAGCCCAGUUACAAAUGUUACCAAACACCUUAGUAGCUAGGCUUUGGCAGCCCAUCUACCCCAUCACACUCCCAAACGGAUUAGAAGGGGACCGGGAUUGCUUUGUCAUAUUUGAAAAUGAUUUUGAAAAAAUAAAAAUUAAGUUCAGAAUUUGGUAAAUUCCUUUAAAAUUUCUUUUAGCAAAAUCACUCUCUCCUUUAGAUUUUGAAAAGUAUGGAAUGAGUAGUUUUUUAAAAUUUAAUUUUGAAAUUCGGAUUCAUAUUUAAUAUAAUACCAUAUAUCAUAACAUGUAUUAUAAAAAUCUAAAAUUAUCCUUAUUCAAUCAAUUAAGAAGUAAAAUCUUACAUUUAAAGAUAUUAUCAUUAUCAAUUAUAUUUAGAUAAUAAAAAAUACAAUUAAUAAAAUAAAAAUAUUUAUUUUAGUUAUCAAUUAUUAUAUAUAUACAUAAAAUGUAAUUAUAUAAACAUAUUUAUAAAUGUAUGUGUAAAUUAAAUUUGUAGAUUUAUGUUUAUAUAGAUCAUUUGCAUUCUUAUCACAUUUUAAAAGUGAGAUUUAUUAAAUAUAUAUAUGAUUAUUUUUAAAAUUUACAGCACUUUUUAAAACAAAAGUAUCAAAAGUUUAAUUGAUUCCUUAUUUUUACUGUACAACUAACAGUAAGAUGUGUUUGGUUCAAGUAUAAAAUGAUGGGAUUGGACAAUUUUAAGAUUAAAUAAUCCUAAUGCAAUGUUUGGUACCAAAAAUAAUUGUGGGAUAAAAAUAGUGGACCCCACCAUUUAAUCCAACACAAUGUCAAAAUUUUAUCACAAAGGGGGGUGUGGGAUAAGCUAAAACUUAAACGUAGGAUAACAAAAAAAAAGCCCAAAAUUUUAUACAACACAGUGAUUUUUUUUUUUUUUUGAGUAUGUCAUCAUCCAAUGAUAGUAUAUAUGCCAGAACACUCUUUUGACGUUAAUGAUAUGUAAUAUUUUCAUAUAUACAGCUAGUGACAUUGUUAUGUAAUUUCUUUUUCAUUUAUAGAUUUAUAUUAUUAUUAUAUUUGUUGAUGAUAUUCUUGUUAUGUUUAUAAUUAUAUUAUUUAGUAAUUUAUAAGUUUAAAAACUAUAACAUGUUAAAUAUAAGAAAAACUUUAAGCGAAGAUUUUGUAUUUUUUAACAAAUUUACCAAUAAUUUUUUAUUUAAGUUAGAUUAUAUUCCAUGUCAUUUUAAAAUAAAUCUAAGAUAAUUUUGAUAAAUUAAUAAAUAAGACAUAUUAUUAGUUACUAACCAAUUUCAUGGCAUACCAAACAUGAGAUAUGAUUAUUUACAGUCUAAUCCAACAUUGCACCAAACGUAAUAGAGUAUUAUAUAUAAUCCAAUGUUAUCAAAUCCAAUCAUAUCUUAUCCAAUCCGAUCCGAUCCAGUCUAAUCCAAUUUGACAUACCAAACAAGCCCUAAUUAUGUUAAAAACUACAUCAUUACCAAACUGACCCUUAAUACAAUCUCAUACAUACAUACAUAUAUAUAUAUAUAUUAAAAAUUAAAAAUUAUCUUUAUUUAGUUAGGAAAUAAAACCAUUAUAUUUAAAUAGAUUAAUAUUAUUACUAAUUAUAUUCAGAUAACAAAAUUAAUAAAAUAAAAAUAUUUGUUUGAUUUAUCAAUUAUUAUACACACAUAUUUAUAAAUGCAUGCGUAAAUAAAAUUUUAUAGAUUUAUGUCUAUUUAAAUCAUUUGCAUUCUUAUAACAUUUUAAAAAAAGAAAAGAAAAGUGAUUUACCAAAUACAUGUAAUUGUUCUUCAAACUUACAACACUUUUAAAAUAGAAUUUAAUAAAUGUUUAAUUAAUUUUUUCACAGCUGAUUAUUUUUAUGGUAUAACUAACAAUAAUCUAUAAACUUAUGGUAAAUAUUUGUGUGAAUGUUGGUCCAUGUAAAGAAGUAAAAACAACGCAUAUAUCAAGCAAUAAGAUAUCAAAACUCUUAGUAAAAUACAUAUACUAAUGAAAGAAUGACAGCAAUGCAAUAAAUAAGAUUAUAAUAUAAAUUAUUAAAAUUGUAUAUUAAAAAUUGAUGUAUGAAAUUCUUUUUAUUUUAGUGAUAGAUAAUGUGAUAUAUUUGAAUAAUUUGAUUAAAUGAAAAGAAAAAUAACAAGUAUGGUUGUGGAGGAAAUAAACCAUUGAACUGUGGAAUGUUAUUAAUUAUUGCUAUUUCAUUAUGUAACGUCCUGAUAAUAAGUACAGUGUUAUAGUAUAUUGAUGGGUGGUGAUAUUGUCACCCCUUAAAUUGUGUAAAGUCAACCUCAUUUACAAAUUUUUUGAUAUAAAUUAAAAAGUACAUUAGUUUUAAUAAAUUAUAUAUUUAUUGAAUAAACUAGAACCGUUAGGGAGCUGUAAUGUUAGCACUGUUUUAACUUAUUAUAAAAAAAAAAGUUAUGAUUUGAUCAUAACUCUAAUUUAGAAAAGAAAAAAGAGUUGAAUUGCUAACAUACUUAAAAAUAAAAUAAAAACAUUAUUAUUAGAUGAAAAAUUGUAAAACUUAAGGGGGCAUUUGCAAGUCCGCCACUACUCAAUAGAGCAUUAUUCAGUACUCGUUAAUAUAUCUCGAACUUUUAGGUUUUUUUAAUAUAUUUUUAAUACAUUUUCUAGAACAUUUAGAUAAAAAGAGUCAGUACUCCAAUUGAGUUGUGAAUAAACAUUUAGAUAAAAAGAGUCAAUACUCCAAUUGAGUUGUGAAUAAACUCAUGUUAAAAAAAAAAAAACUCAUUUUCACACUUGAAACGAUUAGUAAAUGGGUGAUACGAAUUUAACUUGGUCAAUAAUAUAUACCAUCUUAAGUUAACUUCAACUCAUUGAUCUUCUAUAGGGUUGAUCAGCCUGCCACAAGGCCCACAAAUUAUCACCUCUAAUGCUUUUGCAACAGUCGUUAUAAAUGCUGACAAAAUGAAACUUCUAUAUAUUUUGGUUUUUUUUUAUUUCUAUGAAAUAUAAGGCCCUUAUGGCAAAUUUCCAUCCAGCGUGAAAUUUGCUAGUUUGGCCUUGGUACUGUGGCACAUGCGUCAUGCAUGCGUGGCUGAGAUGCUUCUAAAACUAAUAAAUUAUGAAGAAUUCCAAAUUCGUACCAAAAAUAAGAGAAUAGGAGCUUGUCAUAGGUGUCCGCGGAUCGGAUUUUAUGGGUUAAACAUUAAUUCAUAUUUGAUUCGUGAUUUUGUAGAUUAUAAAUUUUUAAUUUAAUUCAAUUUAUGGAUUAGUGAAACUCAAUACAAAUUCAAUCCAUAUAUAUGCAAAUUAGAUGCGGAUUUAACCCAAUGCAUAUUCAAUCCAUCAUUUGGCGGAUUGAUUUGCAAAUUAAAAGUUUUUAAUUUUGUCCAAUCUAAAAAGUAAUUAAAUUAAAAAAAUCUAAUAUAUAAAUAAUUGAUUAAAUAAAAAAAUCUAAUGUAAAAAUAAUUUUACUACCAAUUAAAUUCAAAAUUGAACAAGAUUUAAAUAAAUUUAGAAUAAUACAUUCAAAAUUUUAAAAUAUAACACACCGAAAAAAAAAUUCAUUUAUUUAGAUCAAUACAUGAAAAUUAACUAAAAUUAUGAAUUUAAAUGUUGAAACUUGAAAGCUUGGAUGUAACAGGAAGAAUUUAAGAAACUUGAAGAGCUUGAAAAGAAAGUAAGAAAUUAAGUUUAAUUACCUCAAGUGGUGAAGUGAAACAGUGAUUGGCUUGUGCGUGCGGUGGGAUAGAGAUUUGGUGUUAUAUGUCAAAAUAUUUUGUUUGGCUUGGGGUUUUUGUUUUGCUUUAGAAAUUUUAAUGUUUAGGAAACUAUAUUUGCUUAUUUAAUUAUUUCUUAUUUUAUAUUGUUAUCGAAUAAAAUAUAAUAUUUUGUUAAUUUAGCUAUAAUUUUAUGCUGAAUAUAUUUAUUUAAAACGAUUUUAUUAAAUAAAUGUGCAUAUUUAACGAAGGUCUCUGAAAUUUCAACCUGCCUGCUAAUGAUAGCCAAUACGGCACGACCCACCAAAUGUCGGCCCACGCGGGCUUGUGGGCCAUGACGACUUUUUUUGUAAGGGCCCGGCACGGCCCACGGCACGAGUCCGUGCCCAAAAAAAGCCCACCUACCUUUUUUUUUUUUGUCCACAUGUUCAGCGUGCCUAAAAAAACCCACGUGCCUGACGUGCUUUUUUAAGCCCACCAGCCUAAUAGUAACAACAACAACAACAAUAAUAAUAAUUUCAUAGAAAUAAUUAAUGAAAAAUAAAAUAACAAUUCUAGAAUAACAAUUACAUCUAAUUUUAUUUGAACAACUAAUAUUAUAAUUGCACAUAAACUCUAUUGAAUGAAAAUGUAAUUUUUAAUUUAUUAUAAAAAUAUUUUGUUCAUAAUUUUAUUUUUUUGUGCGUAAAUAUGAAAAAUAUUUCAUUCACAAAUGAAACAUAUCUCCAUUAACUAUUAACUAAGUUAUGAUUUCAUAAAUGAAAUAUUAAUGUCGUAAAAUUUUUUAUUUAUCAUUUAUAAAAUCAUGAUAUUUAUUUAUCCAUUUAAUAAAUUAUAAACAUAAAAAAAUUAGAAUACUUAUUUAAACUAGGACUUAAAUUAAUUUUAAAAAGCCUAUACUAAAAAAAUAUAUUAAAAUUUUUAAUUUCAAGGUAUUUAUAAAAUCAUGAUAUUUUAUAUUUAUUUUUCAUUAAAAAAUUUUAUUUUGAUAUACUUUGGCCCACGUGCUAUUGGUGGCCCACGGGCCGCGUGCUUAGCCCACCAAUAAAGUGUGCUUAUUACAUGCCUUUUCGCGUGCCGUGUUUUGCCCCAUCUCUAAUCAUACCGUGCUUUUAAGGCCUGCGUGCCUAAAAUUCUAGGCCCGCAUGCCGUGCCGUGCCGUGCCGUGCCUCGUGCCGCCUGGCCCAUUGGCCAUCCCUACUGCCCGCCAACCACAUUUGUCCAAGAUCAAUUUGUAGGAAAAAAAUUUGAAAAUCAAUAAUUUAUUUAAUUAAUUGUUAAUGUAGGCAUUUGAAUCCCCACAAAAUCUGGGUGUCAGUUCUAGACUUCUGGUGAUAUAUUUUUCUAAUUAAGGAAUAAAAUAUUUUUGUCAUUUUUUUAAUAUUUUAAUUUACCAGGCAUAUCAACUAAUUAAUUUUUCUACUUAGACUAUUAAUUCAUUACGUGCGCAAUCUGUAGCCCGGCGCUCCAAUCCCAUGCAUGUUACACACAACUCAAUCAUUAUUUAUUUAUUUAUUUAUUUUGACCAACAACUCAAUGUUUUUUAUAGAGCUGUCAAAAUUUGACACGACCCGAUUACCCGACACGAACACGACAUAAAUAAAUGGGUAUGGGUCGUCAAAUUUAACACGAUUAUUAAAUGGGUCGGGUCCGGGUCAACACGAUUUUUUUCCGUGUCGGGUUUUGGGUUAAAAUUCUUGACCCAUUUACCCGAUCAAUGACCCGAUUAUAUUUUCUAUUUUAAAAUAAUUUACAUAUUCUUAUAAUUAAAACUCAAAUAUUAGAGAUGAUUUUUUUUUAUUCUUUAAAAUGGUGAAUAUAAACACAGUGUUUUAUUUAUAAAAUUUUACAUACAUUUAGAGCUUCAAUAGUGUAAAUGUGUAAAAAUUGAUAGACAUGUAUAUUUUAUAAUAUUGAUAUAUAAUAUUAUAUAUAUAUAUAAAAUUAAAACCUCAAUAGUGUAAAUAUGUAAUAUAUUGGUAGAUAUAUAUAUUUUAUAAUAUCGAUAAAUUAUGUAUGUAUGUAUUUAUGUACAUACGUAUGUAUGAUAGUGUGGAAAUAUUUUAUGUAACUUUUGUUCAAUAUAUAGAUAUUAAACGGGUUAUUGGGUAACCCGAUUAUUUUUCCGUGUCGGGUUUGGGUCUCAAUAUUUUGACACGAUUAUUAAAUGGGUCGGGUUUGGGUCGACCUAAAUUUGACACGACACGAAACUGACACGACAUGAACACGACCCGAUGACCCGUUUUGCCAGCUCUAGUUUUUUAAUAUGAAAAGGUAUUGGUUAGCUUUGUCUUUAGUUUUUUCAACUUAUAAUAAGUUUGUAUUAAGGCUCCCUUUGGUACAGAUUUUCAAGUAAAACUUAUUUAGGGUUAUUUUUAGGGACCUCCCCUGAGGUUUGGUGUAUUAACAAUCUGAUAGAAAGUAUUCACGUAAUUACAAAGACCUCCCCUGACAUUUGUAUUAUGUUAAGUGGACUGUUAUUGACUAUUGAAAAUCCAAAAAUACCCUUCCUGCCAAAAUAUUUCUUUAUUCACUGAUGAACUGAUGGGUAAUUCGUGCCAAAAUCACAAAUUACUUAAGAAGAUGAAAAUAUCCAUUGGAUAAAAAAAAUGAAAUUGCUUAAUAAAAAAAUUGACAUUGCAUAAUAAUAAAAAAAAUUGAAAUAAUGUGCGGCGGCAUAGCUGCAUCUUGCAUGCAUAUUAUUAUUGUGAUUUUUUUAUUACAAACUCCUUCAUAACUAAUACAUGCCACAAGAGCAGAGCUAUUAAAAGAAAUGAUUUUCAUAUUGUAAACUUGAUAGUACAGGUGUUGGCACCGACCAUAAAACCCUUAUGAUACCAAUCUUUGCUCCAUCCAUAUUUAAAUCCAGAUCAAGUAAAUAUUAAAUUGGAUUUCAGGUCCUGAAAAUCCUACUCUAUAAUUGAUAUCUUCGAGUUUUGUUGGUGCCUCAAACCUGGAUCUAGAGCAUCAUCUCUGUCAUACUCGGAACACCUAAACUAAUGGACUUGCUGCAGCUGCUUAUUCUUCUUCUGAAAUGAUGCACGCAUAUAGAUUACAGACUUUGAAAUAAGAAAUACAAUAAACAACAUGUAAUCGAACUUAAGAUUUCGGCACACUUGUUUGAAAAUUAGAAUCAAACAAGGAAAAUGGCAAGUCAAUAUUUUUUAAUCUAGAAAAAGGGAAAUUUCAAAGUUUAUCACAUGCCAAAUUCAUAGUCUUGCAUCCACUAUUUUCUAGUUUGAAUAACAAACAAAAGCCUUAGACAAAAACACAGAGAACAUCUCACAUGGGAGCAAAAAUUGUGUGUAGAACAAUAUACUUAAGUUACAUGUGAUUACAAUCACAUUAUUUAGCAAAUACAAAAUUACCUUCUCAAAAAAAAAAAAAAAAAAACAACACCACCAAAUUAUUGAAGGUAUUACAACAAUAAGGCAAAAGAACACCAAAGGCAUGCACAAACCGAAACUAACACACAACUCAAUUAGUGUCAUGACCCCAAACUGAACAAUCAUAUAAGCCAUUGUGGGCUCUCUAAAAGAUUAUCACAUUAUAAGCAAACAGAAACCUAUAUUUGAUGAACUACAUCUAGUACUUACACAACUCUUAAAUCAUUAGGAAAUUGCUCUUAUCAGUCAUUACCCAAUAGUUUUUUUCAACUCAACACUAACAACCCCAAAGAGAAACAACAUCCAGCACCAUUUUCAUUAAUUAAAACAGACCCAUUGUUAUUUUUAAUCAAUAAAAUAACAACAAUAUCGUGUAAGCCACUGAUUCAAGCAUUCAAGCUGUGUUUUCGAAGACUGACCUCUUCUUGCUAUCUAAUUCCAGUCACGAUAGACGCUAGAUGCCGGCAAUACUCGCUUCUUGGAAGCUCUGGACCACCGCACGACGUCAUCUUGUGCAGUAGAUGAAAAUAAAUCAAUGAUUUCAGAAAUUAUUUGUGAGUUGCAGACGCUUCUUCUCCAUGGAUGAAAAUGAUGGUGGGUUUUGUUCAAGUGUAAGCUGUGUUUACGAGGAGAAGUACACUUUGUGAAAAAAUCAUUUUCUUUCAUCUACUGGAUAAUGACUUUGGACUGGGUAAUGGUGUGUUUAAGUCUCUAUUUCACGGACAUUGAAGCAUAUUUUGCUUGAAUUUUGAUUUUGUUUAAAUUUCAAGUUUACUUUUACUUGUUUACCCUUUUAUACUGACGCUUAUGUAUUUUUAUACUAACGUUAAGGGAGGUCUUUGUAAUUAUAUGAAUACUUUCUAUCAGACUGUUAAUACAACAAACCUCAGGGGAGGUCCCUAAAAAUAACCCAACUUAUUUAAAUAGAACUUUUACAAAAAAAAAUUUAGUUAUUUGGUUGUCAAUAAACUUUUCAAGUAUACUUUGUUUGGUACAGCUUUUCAAGUAAAACUUAUUUAAGUAGAGCUUUUACAAAAAAAAAAAAAUUAGUUGUUUGGUUGUCAAUAAAAAUUUUUAUUAAAAAAAAUAUGAAAUUACUUUAUUAGUCAAGUUUUUUUAAAGUUAUGCUAUGAAAAGAAUAAAAUAAGAUUGUCAAAUAAAUAGAAAAUAUUUUAAAUAUUUUAACAUUUAAAAAAACUUUUUAACCUUUAUUUUCAAAAAUCUAAAAUUUAAACUUUUACUAGUAAAGGCAAAAUAAUUUAUUUAAACUUCAAAAGCUUUAUUAGAAAAAUAAUCAAACAAUAACAAAAAUUAUUAUAAAAGCUUAUCGAAUUAAAUAAGUACUUAUAGUUAUUAAAGAAGUUAUAUCUAACAGACACUAAUGCCGAAAGCCCCUUCUAAUUGUGGGUGUAAAAGUUUGAAUUAUGCAUACGGUUAAGGAGUUAAGGUGUGUUUGGCAACUGCAUUAAGUGGAAAUUUUUAUUUUGUUUCGAAUAAAAAUACAGCAAGCUCGUGUUCGGCUCAAAAUAAUGGAACGUUUAAUUUGCAACCGUCGGCGGACGAAGCACACCGUUCACGGCCCUUCGUAUAAAAUUGCAUAUGUAAACGUAAAUAGGUCCGGAUUCAGAUUCGUUGCUGUAGAGAGUGGCACGCACGAUCGGGCUGCUGUCGGUGGUAGGUUGGCAUUGGAAUUCUCAUCACGCGCUUCCCCAGGCGCCUACUUAUGGCAAAUUGACACGUGACGCGUGUGGAUUGAAUGGACAGAGUCCCGGGCAGUGUGUCCAAAGCUGCCAACCGUGCUCUGAUUUUUGUCAUCCAUAAUGGCUAACGACUAACGAGGGAGAUUUCCGGGCAGAAAGAAAUUGUUGUCGUUUCUGAAGGGGAAAAAAAAGUUAUUUAAUUUGUUGUUGAAGACAAAAUGAAGAUCUAAAUAAAUAAUGGCUAAUUUUGAGUGUAAAGCAACGGUAAAUGCAUUAUUAAAUUAGAUUUAGGGUCUGAUUGAGAUUAUUUUUAGAUUUAAAAUUAAUUUUGAAAAGUUAAAAUUAAUUUUGAUGUUUAUUAAUUUUUAUUAAAAAUUAUUUUUGUCAAAAUCUCUCAUCCUCCAGCAUAUUAUAAAAAAUAAGGAAGAAAUAAUUUUUUAAAAUUUAAUUUUAAGAAUCAGUUUUAUACUUAAUAUAAUCCACAUAUAUCCUCGUAAAUAUUAUAAAAAUUUAAAAUUAUUCUUAUUUAUUUAGGAUAUAAAAUUAUUAAAUUCAAACAUAUUAUUAUUAUUAUUAUUAUUGUUAUUAUUAUUAUUAUUAUUAUAAAUUCACACACGCACACACAUACUUAUAAAUUUAUAAAUAAACUUUAUUUAACAUUUUGUUCACUUAAAUCAUUUAUAUUCUUAUAGCAGUUUAACAUUAUGAUUUACCAAACACAGAUAAUUAUUUUUAAAAUCCAUAAUAUUUUUUAAAAUAAAUUUUAAUAAAUGUUUAACUUAUUAUUCUGACAACUGAUUUUUUUUGUAAGGUAUAACCAUUAAUAAUAAAUAUUUUAAAAGUUACAGUAUCCCCAAAUUGGCCCUUACUAAUACUCUGCGUUGCCAACUAAAUACUAAUUGUAACAUUAAACAUCUGGAAUAUUUUUCUCUAACGAAACAACACAAUUAAUUUCCCUCUAAAAAAGAAAAAGAAAAAGAAAAAAUAAACUACCAACCCCACCCCUUUAGACAGCAGAGUUUUAGCUGAGGCGGCUUGCUUGCAUAAGCAUUAAGGCUGCUCUUCACCAACCAUUGAACAUUCUUUCCAUUUGAUUGUUACACUUUACUUCGCCAUCUCAUGUCCAUGUACAUUGUUUUGAAAUGAAGACUUUGCGUACAACUAAUCUUUUUCAAUUCAUAAUAAAAACUCUUUUAAUUAGUUAAUAGCUAUAGCUUCCAAUUGAGACUAUAUAUAAAAAUCCAUAUUGACUGACCAAACCAAUAAUUUUUAAUUGGCUUGAGCAUUGUCUUACUUACUUCAAAAUCGUCACUCUCUUUGAAAAGAACAUGAGAGAGUUCACCUCCAUCUCAACCCUUAACCCUAUAUCUCAGUCAAGAGAUUAUUCAUGGAAAAUUCAGAAAAAAGAAAUGUUGCAAUAUUUACGAAACUCACGUCACGUGAGGUAAGAUAAAUUAUUCCUUUCUGCUUUAAUUCAUGUACAUAAUCAUGAGAAUAACUUUAAUUAUAGUUUAUUUCUCCGUUUUAAGAUUUUUCCUUUUUUUUUUUUAAUUAAUUAAUUAUAGUUCAUUCAUUAAUCCCAUAAGAAAUUAACACCUUUGCCGGUAAAGUCACACAUACAACAAUAUUUUAGAACAAAAGGGAAGAUCAUGCACGAUCAUGAUGUUUUAUUAUAUCUCUAGCAAUAUAAUUAUCUUAUAAUUAAUUAAAAACAAAACAGGUAAUUAAGCCAAAGUGGAUGGCAUGCAUCAAUCAUCAUGCAGAACACCUCCCCUUGUUUUAAAUAUAAAUAAAAGAAAUUUGUGCCCAGAAGACUUAAUUAAUACUUCUCGUUUCUGAAGUGCUCACAUGAUAUAUAGUCGGACGCAUUAUAUUUAAUUUCAUGAAUUAAUCGUACGGUUGUAUUUUGAGAGAGAGAGAGAGAGAGAGAGUGACUGAGUAAGAUAUGGCUUAAUUUAACCAAAUCUACGUAUAAAAUUUUAAAAUGAAUUUUUGAGUUUUAACUUAGGAAUUGUCUAUGAAUAAAAGUGUUAAUCAAAUAUUUCGUGUAAAAACAGUCAGCUGUAACAUUUUCGGUUGCUUUAACAAAACUGUAUAUUUCUGUAAUUUCCUAUAUGGGCCAAAAGGAACAUUUUUCUCAGAAAUUAAAAACUUAUGGUGAAAAAGAUAAGAAAACCAACAGGUUCAAAGGUGCGAGUAAACUGGGCUCUGGUGCGCCCAACUCCCUCUUUUGAUUUUGAGACUCUAUUGACCAUUGAGUUUGAGGCCCCAACGGCCCAGUUUAAAACUGUUAUGAAAAGAAAAAAAAUAUAACUAUAAAAUUAAAAUUAAUAAUGUUUGAUAAAUAUAAUUUUUAAAUAAUAAUUUGACAAAAAUAAUAUAGGGUCUUGUGUAUAUUUUUAUUUGGCAUUUCAAUUAAUCUGCUUAUAUAUAUAUAUAUAUAAGUUAAUCUAUAUUUCUUGCAAGAAGAUAGUAUUUCUUUAAUUAAAGUCAUAACUAAUAUAUAAAUUAUCAACUAACCAUCAAACAUUUAUCUCAUUUUAUCUCCACCACGAUCAUCACCAUUCAUCCUGUCACGAUCUUUAUGUAACUACAAUUAUUUUUUCUUUAAUAAUGUCAACCCACCAACCCCAUAACAAUAUCUCCAAACAUCUCAUCUCAAAAUUCCUAAUAACAUAAGUGUUUAUGUAUGAAAGAAAAUGUGAAAUAUAUAAUCAAAAAGUAGUUUAAUAAUAUAAUGUUUAAAAAUUAUGGUAAAAAUAAGUGAGAGUUUGGCAUGGCAAGUUAAUAAAAAGAUAAAAGCUCGGACACUUGAUGCAUCAAAGUAGCAAUGUCUGUCCAUCAUUAUCAUCAUGCGGGUUUAGGUGCUUCUCAUGAUAGCAUUAGCUGGUAAGACCAUCAUGCAUCGUACUUUCAUUGUUAUACAUUUUGAAGGUAAGAAUGGUUAUGUUACGUCCCUCCGAUUAGGUGUAUUUUUCUUCUUCUUCUUCUUCUUUUUCUUCUUCUUGUACGUAAUAAUUUCUCUUUCUUCCAUGAAGAUUUCUUUCUCUCUUUCUUUUUUUUUUUUUUAUUAUAAAUAAAAUGAUAAGAACUAAUUUCCUUACUAAUUGGUAGGGUCGUUUAAUGGUUCAGAUCCAUUAGAUUUUGUCAAAUUCAAGUCCAAUCCAUCAUAUAUUCCAUUUUAUAUUCCGGAUCCGAUCACUAAUAGAAAUCCAUUAUAAUUUAAAACAAUAAAACGUCGAAUCCAAUUUAAUUCGAUAUGAUCAAUCCAAUUAAAAUAAAAAUUUACAAAUAAAAAUCAUUAGUUGCUCUCUCCAGUUAUAAUUCUUAACAAUUAAAAAAAAUACAAAAUAUCAACUCCUUUAAUAUUUCAUGAUUCAUGUACUUUAUUAUCAUAUGGUUGGAAAAAAAAGUUGAAAUUUGAAUAUUAAAAGCAAAUGUUGGUUGCGACCUGCUGUUUGUAUUCUAUAUUGUUAUAGUAUAUUUAUAGUUAUUUUUUUAGCAAGUUAAAUAUAAAAGUGACAUAUAGUUUUUUUUUAUAAAAAAAAAUAAAUAAAGAAAAUAAAAAAUUAAUUGGUUGGAUUGGUUUAUAUUGGAUUUGAACAUAUAGAUCCAUAGACCAAUCUAAUAACAUUAUAUUUUUUAUUUUGCAAUCUUAUCCAAUCCAAUCAAAAUGUCAAUAUGACAAAAGUUGGAUUGGUUUUGAUCAGAUCGAUUGGUUUGAUUGGAUUGAAUUGAAUUAGAUCUUGAACAUCCUACCAAUUAGACUUUCCGUGAUUUUUUUUUUUCCAAAUUUAAUAAAGAGACUUCCCAUGAAUGUUAAAUGCAGUUUUAUUGAUGAAUUCUGCAAUUUUAAGAAAUGUUUGAUACACGAAUAAUGCAUCUCAUCAACCAAGUAACUGCGUCCCCUGCAGCAGCCGCGGCUUCAACUGGAAUACUGCAGCCACACCGGUCUUGAGACUCAACAUUCGGCCGAAACUCAAGCAAAAGUUGAACAAUAUCAGGCCUGCUUUGAGCUAUAGCAAUAUGAAGCAAUGUUUGUCCCUGCGCACCAGCAGAAUCAGCUGGGUGGGUUCCAAGCAGGGUCACUCUGUUCAAGAACCUCUCUUAUCUCAUCCAUUUCACCAUCCUUAACUAGCUGAACCACAACAUGGGACCCAACAAACAUGAUCUUGAUUCCUAUUGAUGAACGCUGGCUUCUUCCUUCUUGUGAACCAGUCACCAGGAACCGAAUCAAGCAUCAAUGUUGCAUCUUUAAUUGCAGCUGCAGGAACGACAACGCUAUGCAAGAGGAAGGAAUCAUCACAGUGAGGGAAAGUAUGAAGGAGAACUGAUCCUGGAGGAAGAUGAUACGCAAUCUCUAUGCUUACUGUUCCGAGUGGUUGCAUUGACCUGAAUAGUUCGAUCUAUUUCUCGUGUAUCUACUUGCGCUGCACUUUCACUCGAAGAACCUACAAAAUUAUUCAUAACCCGGCAUAAAAAAGACGUAAAGUUUUCAGCGCGAGCAUGGUAACUUCAAAACCCGUUUCAUACCUAUCAUAUUUCAUUCGUCCCGCACCCUCAUUUAAAAGACUAGAGCUUAUAAAAACUAGAAGUACCUUACCCAGAACAUAAAAGCAGACAAAACCCAGUCGAGUAUAAAUAUAACGUUGAAUAACACCUACCAUUUACCAUUUCAUUCAAGAACACCACACAAUUAACGAAACCAACAUCGGUAUGUUUUCAGCCGUUGUACUUUCAACUUAAUUUUGAAAGCGCGGCAGCUAAAGCCUAAACUGUUGUUUGAUAAAAGUCCACCCACUGACUGCUACCUGGCGGCUACCGAUUCCAUUCAAUAGCAGUCAUAAAAUAAAAAGUACAAAACAAACCUAUGUACAAAAAAGGCAAUGAAGCAGCCAUGGAUUCAGUUAUUUGCAUGUUUGGGAUUGUGGUUGAUUCCAAAUUGAGAAUAUACUGCGAAAUUAUGUUUGAUAAGCAUUUAUCUGAUGAUUGCUACUUUAUUGAGUGCCUGUUUGGUAUGGCUUAUUUAAAAGCCAUAAGUGCUUAUUUAAUCGUAUAAGCACUUUUUUAAAAUUUUUAUGGUGUUUGGUUAUUUUUUUAGUAGAGUUUUUUUAGCUUAAAUAAGCUAAUUUACCUCUACUAGCAAAAGCCCAAAAUUUGAGCUUUUGGGAGUAGAGGUUAAAGAGCUUAUCUAAAAAAUAUAUAAUAAAAAAAAUAUCAUACAGUUUAAUGAUUCAAAAGUGUUUUUUUUAUUGACAACCAAACACCCAAUGACUUUUUGUCCAAAAACUCUAUUGGUAUAAGCUCUAUUGUUAUAAGCUCUAUUUAAUAAGCUGUACCAAACGGAGCCUGAGUCUUCAAAGAAAAACUCAAUCAACUAAUGCUCGAUUUUUUUUUUUAAAUGACAAAUCAAAAAGUAUUUUGGAGUAGAUUCUCAAAAGAGUGAUUAUUUGAUAAUCCACCAUAAUCCCACUUAGUUAUCAGAAAUAAAUUAAAAUCCGACGAAUGUUACUUAAGCCAAACAGCAUUAUUUUAUUUUGACCACAAGGACCACAACCCUCAAGCUGUCAAGCAACCGUUACCGUUAACGACCAAUCUUUCACCUCUCCGAAUCUUUGCAAGUCACUAUCAAGCAACCGUUACUAAUAUUUAAUCAAUUAUUAGGAUUAUUGGAUUUCUCAAAUACCUUAUGUACUUUGGUUCACUUUCUACUAAAAUAAAUAUUACAGGAGCUUUCAAAGUCUAGGCUAAGGUUGUUGUAAACAUAGAGAGAUUCAGAGAUAUAACAGCUUGUAAUUACAUACCACAAAGCAUAACUUUGUUCGAAUGAUAAUGAUCAUAAUCCAGAUUAUAGACGUAGAGAGAGGAGAAGUCGUACUUGAGGGGCAAAACGCGGCGUUUUGGCUCGUGGAUGAGGUGCUGCUCCUGAUCGUCGUAGAUUGAAGGGAGGAGAGGUCGGUCGAGGAAGUUUAGGAGACGGUGGAGGCUGAAUUGGUGAAUUUCGAUGAAGACUGACGAAUCCAAUGGGGCUUGAGGGUUUGAUUUGCAAAGAUGAAAGAUAAGAGCAUUGUUUUGGUUUCUGUGCAAAAAAAAAAAAAAAAAAACAUGACAAGCGUUGUUUUGGUUUUGGUUCUAAAAAGAUGAAAAUUUGACUGCAAUGGAUCCAUACGCAGUCGGUGUCAAAUAAGAGGAGAAACAAAUAUGUUAAUCACUCGCUCAAUCACUCAUGCGAAGUGCCUUUUUUUUCGUUGCUUUGGCUUCUGAGAAAUAUAUGCAUCAGAUAUUACAACUCUCGAGGAUAAUGCAUUUUGUUCCGGUUUUGACUGAUAUUUAGUGGCAUUUGAUAAACUGAUACCUCAGAACCUGGUAGAGAGUUUAUUAAAUACAAAGAGAACAAAAAUAUAUGACUAUAUAAGCUUUUACACGGUUGAAGAUCCGGUCAAAUUGGCUUUAGUUAGCAAGAUCAUUUAAAACUUUCAAAAAACGAAUGGUAUCAAAAAGCUCUGAGAAAAAGCGGAAAAAAGGCACCACAAAGAUCUUGCAAUUAUUAUCACAGCUUGAUAAGACAUGGAAAUGUAUCUUACAAAUUGGCCUUCCAAGCAUCAAAGAAUUGGGUGGCGACAACUCCCAUUCCUAGCUGCUACCGUGGCCAGUCCCUUCUAACUAAAAUGGGACAGGACCAAAAGCAAGGUCUCUCCCACUCUCCUUAUGUAUAUAAAAUUCCCUACAUUCGAAUAAAACUACAGAAAAAGAUUUGCACAUCAUCUUCUUUCACCUUAUUUUGCAAUCUUCAAGAGUUUGGAAGAUUUCAAAGCACUUGUUAGAAUGUAGCACUCCAUUAAGCAUUCUCACCUUCCCCACACCCCAAUGGACCUCCUUAAUCCUAUCGGCAGACCUACAAAUUCUGCUGCAACUCCAAUCAAAUAAAGCAACACAAUUGUUGCCUGCCUAAGCCUUCCACUCACAGCCUGCAAUGACAAGUUCAUGAUACAAAAUCAGAAACAUUAAUAAACAAAAAGAUAUUACCAUUACUUGCAGAGGGGGAUUUGUUGCAAUUAGUAAAUGCCAUACUUAUCACUUUCAUUGCAGAUAUCAUCAUCAUCAUAAUACUAGCAAUCCAGCACUAAUAGUCAGAAUAAUAAUAAUAGUAGCAUGAAUAAAGAAUUUCUGCAGAGUAAGCUCUAAAGAUGCCGAAAGUGUCAUCUAUUAUGUUAAUAAUAAAAAAGUCUAUCAAGAAUUCAAGGAAAGAAAACUCAUUAACAAAGAACUAAACUUUUUAAUAAUGUUUAAUAAACUACGUACCUAUGAUUUUCUAUUAUUAACAUAAAUGACACUACGUACAACUGAUUUUCGCUUUCUAAUGUUUCAAAUCAUACCGAGAAAUAUAACAAUUACCAAGUCAGUAAGUAGCACAAUUACUUAAUAAGACUUUGACUUGUCUAACCCAAAAUUGUACCCAAUUCUAUACUCUACCAUGAAAAGCUUAUGAAGCCGAACUUACUUUGACCAAACAGUACUAUUAGCUCAGUUAAAGGAAACCACAAUUGAACAAAGUUCAGCUGAAAUAACUGAACUAAAAAAACUUGAUAAAAUUAAAAGUAACUUAUAACAGUUUAGUAAAGAAGCAUACAAAACAUGAAGAUAAAUAAACAUAGGUCUAUUUUCUUGACACUACCAGGUCCUUUCCUUUUUUUUUUUUCAGAUAAGAUCUCGAUACUACCAAGUUUUGGAUUCAAAAUCACCAUAUUACAAUAAUAGUUGUGAUUCAUGGGAUACAAUAUGUAGCAGCUUAUAUGUCGGCAAUUAUAGUCAAAGAUGGUUGUCAAACAUCAUCGCAAAUCAAGAAGCUAAUAAAGACCAUGUCACACUACAUUAACAUAUAUCAGUUCUUUGAUACAAAGAUAUUGAAUGUUAUACAUUUCUAAUCCCAAGUCCUGAAAUACAAAACAAAAGUUCACUUCACACAGUCAUAAAGCUAGACUGCUAGAUAAAUGGACAAUAGGCAUUGGAUAUGGGUCAAUAAACUAUUAAGCUAAUUAAUGCACACGAAGGAAUCCGUUAGAGCUAGUAAAAUAGCCCUUACCAGAGAACUCGCAGAAGCAUUCAAUUUCCUCAAAGGAGAUAACUUACAACAUAAACAUUUUGAUAAGCAGCAACACACAUAAAAUAGCUUCACUCACUAGCAACAGAGCAACUUCUUCAACACAUUAAUAAAUCCAUUUUCAUUUUUAAACAACAAAAUAAUGCCCAGUUUCUCCAGCACAAAUAGGGUAAGCAGUAAUAGAAAAACAUGAUACAUAGGAAUUACCGGCCUCAAGAAAUCUCCAAGCUUUCUGUCCUCUGCUUCAAUUGCUCAAUCAAGAAUGCCCCAGACGUUGCGCUAGCGUGGUGGUGGAGCGUCGCGAAGCGUGUGGCGGCGGUGUCGGCGAAGGCAGGUCAUGAAGAUAGUUGGUGUCGCGCAGCGAAGGCAGUGCAGCUGGUGUCAUGCGGCGAAGGCAAAUCGCGUGGUGGUGGAGUUGGGGUCGCGCGGCAGUGGCGGUGCGGUGCUGAGGCAUAAUAGUGGCGGUGGCGUUGUGCGACAGUGGCAGUGUGGAGGCAGAUUGCGUGGAGCUGGCGGUGUUGAGGCAGAUCGCGUGGAGGCAGAUGCCGCGGUGGUGGAGUUGCUGUCGCGAUCAACGCCUGUGAAAGGGAAUGAAAGUGAAGGAGAUACCUACAAAAGAAAGAACGAGUGAAAUUUUUUUUUUUGUUCAAGGGUUUCAAACCCACAUAAACCCGACUCUCACACGGGUUCAGUAAGUUUAUGCGGGUUUGACUGCAUUACAAAUUGGUAUGACCACAACAACAGUACAAUGAUUGGUAAUUACCAAACAUGCUAUUUAUGUUGGUAUUAAAUUAAUUUAAUACAAUGAGGAGUGGUAAUAUCAUACAAUGAGGACUGUUAAAUAUGGUGUGUUUAAUAUGUUGUAUUGUAUUAUAUUAUUUUAAUACAAAUAUAUUAUAUUAUCUUGUAUUAUAAUAAUAUUAUAUAAUAUUUUGUGCUACAUUGUGUUGUAUUAAUUUAUAAUUAUAAUAUAUUUAAUGUUGCACCACGCUGUACUAAUUUUUUUAGUAAUCAAUUUAAAUUAUAUAUUUUACAAAUAAUAUUUAUUAAAAUACUUAAAAAUGCUAAAUAUGAAAAUAUUGAAUUUUAAAAAUUUAAUAUUAUUUUUUUAAUAUAAAUAUUAAAAAAUAUCAUAAUUCUUCAUAGAAAUCGAAGUUCAUGGCAUUAAAUUUUUAACGCCGCAUACAUAAUAAAAAAUUUGAUUCUCUAGUGCCAAUAUAAUAGAAUACAUAAAAACGAGACUGAGAAACUACGAAUAAAGCUCAUCAUCAAGGACUCCACAACAUUAUAAGAAGUACUAUGUAACAUUUGCCAAAUUACAACACCACAUCAAGACAUAUCACAAUGUAAAAUUUUUCCUAGAGAUUUGGUAAUUGAAAAACACAAUUCAAGUUGAAAACUGAUAGUCGACUUGAAAAGUUUUAACAUAUCCCAUAAAAGAAAUGUGCCAUGCCAAAAAUCCUAACCCUUGGCUCUUUGACGAUAAGAAAAUAUUGAAAAUUCCAAAGUACAGUGCAAUGGGAGAAAGAAUGCCUAUAAAGCUAGUAAAGAUAUUCUUAAACUACUAUUGGGAUGUUGGGCUGGUUGGUAGCAAAACCCAAACCCUGCUGCUGAUUUCCGAUACCACCAUCUUGGAUAAGCCGCUCUCCCUCCUCUUCCUAACUCCUAAGCCCAAUAUCUUUCCAAAACCUUCACAACCCACUCAUAAAUCUCAUUGUUGUCGUGGAUAUGCAAAUUCUCAAUCUUUUCUACUCCAUCACACUCAUCAAUCAUUUGGGUAUAAACAUUAACCCAAUUAUCCAUUCCUAUUUCCUUGUUAACCUCACCCACCUUGAAAAUGUUCUCAAGACCCUAUAGACAAACUGUGACGAUCCUUUGGUCCAGACAAACCAGAAGAUCACAGAGCGGUUUGAUGCAACCUUGGCUCACCAGGAAUCUGCAGGACCAUGGUACCAUAAGUGAUUCUAUCACAUGAACAUCAUUAGAUUAAAAAAAGAAAAAAAAAAGAAACAUCUAUCGUAUGAACAUUGCUGAGUGAAUAAAAGAAACAUACUGAAUAUGUUCAUGAGAUCCUCCAUAUGUGGCAUUUAAGACAGGCCAUGCAGCCUCCUUGAUUUCAAGUUCUGCAUGUUGAAGAAGAGGUGCACAAAAGGAAGGAUAAGGAAGGAUGAUAUUGGCCUCCAUAACAGCCUGUUGAACAAAAAUUCGACAAAUUAUAAUUAUGAGUAUAUUUAAGUAGCAAUUUUGUCAGAAUUAACUAGACUUGACUAUUGAGGAAGUCACAUUCAAAAAUAGAAAAGACGAGCAAGCAAUUGUAUUCAUGCUAUCGGGACCAAAAUACUAUGAUGCAAGCAAGAAAGAAAAACAUACAUACAUAUAAAACACUAUCUUUGAGUUGGGUAUUUUCUUUCAAUUUUGAUAAUGGCAACUUUGGAUUCUUCUGCUGAAUUACCACCACCACCACACCAUUGUAGUUUCACAUACUAAGAAAAGGCAGGUUCAGCUCCCGUGCAUGCCCAUAAGAAUAUGAUGUAUUAAUUAGAAGUAAAAUUAAUCUGUUCAAUUAAGUUCUCUCAUAUAUUUGUGUGCGUGUGUGUGUUAAUUAGUUUGCUUUCAAAUCUUUUCUCCCUUCUUAAUGAUAUAUAUUUUAAGCAUGAUAUCAACCACGAUGAAUUUAUUAGCCGAUUUUUAAUUAUACAUUCAGCAUGAUAUCACAAACCAAGAGCUUAAGUUAGCCUAAUUCUUCAUAAAUCUAAUAAUUGCAAUCAAUAAUAAUGCUGAAAAUACGAGUUUGAAUUAAGCUAGCAACUGGUUCUUAAAUUAUGCAAUAUGUAAUCAUAGGUUUACUUAAAGAUUAAAGCAUUUCUGCAAUCCAUUGUGCAAAAAGAUUAAAAAAAAAAAAAAUAGUUGCCAAAUUUUAUCUAAAUAAAAAUUCCUUUAGUGGUUAGUACUUGUGAAUUAUAGAAAUUAUUAUUAGUACUUGCUCAGCGCUUUUUAGAUUUGUACAGGUAGAUUACGCCAUUUCAAACCCGACCAUCCAUUUAGACAUACAAAUCCCCCCAAUUCCCUGUCCUCCGCCUUUACGCGACUCUCCACUGUAUGUGCCAACUAAUUAAUUUUUUAAUUACUUGUUUAACUAAUUAAUUCAUUUUCUCAAAAGCAAGAUUAAUCUAUUUGUUCAAAUCUGAAGGAGAUUAAGUUAAUUGAUUUUAUUGUAUGUAAAAAUAUACAAAGAACUCAUGAAGCCAACUAGAAAAAAAAAAAAAGACAAAAAAAAAAUCAAACCCAGAAAUAAAAAGACAUGCUUCGACAGAAAAUUAAUGAAAAUUAUACUGAUUGUGGUUCAAUUUGAUCAAACCCAAAUAAUAACCGGUUUGAUUGAUGACUCAGCGGCAAAGUGCAGGCGCAUCAGUGGUUGCACAGAUGAGUGUUCUCGUGCGGCACGACAAAGCAAUUGUCGGCGAUUGUGAUUGGUGAUGACAUCGAGCGAUGGGGGUAAUGGCAUCGGUCGUGACUUUGUGAUGGAGAAACGAAUGUUAGAUUCGUUCGAAGAUUCGUGUUUUGAUUGAAUAACAAAGAGAGAUUUUAUGAGUUUUAAUUAUCUAAUACGAUACCGCAUAAACCCGACUCGUACGUGGGUUUAUUUUAUGCGGGUUUCGGUGUACUAAAGCAGUAAAUUUAUGUGGUGCAAUUCAAACUGAUUUCACCGCCAAAAGAUCGUGUAAAUUUAAUAUUAUACAGGGUUUUAAUACUAUGUAAUCCAAUACACCAAACAUGCCCUUAAAAACGGAUAGCAAUCCGGGGCCUUUAAAAACGGAUAGCAAUCCGGGGCCUUUAAAAACGGAAAAUACAAGCAGAGAAAAAGAAAAGCCAAUUGUUCAAAAGUGCCUAAUAUGCCCACGGAAAAUUUUCGUCACGACCCACAGUUACUCGAAUAGGUAAUAAGACAGGAAUGCCUUUGUUUGUUCGAAUAUAGAAGCACAAUGGCUCAGAAAGGAUCCCUCCAAUCUCCUUGGCACUGUCAGCUGGGUGCGGAGUAGCUUGGUGGCAGCAACCAUGUUUGAGAGGGCUGGCUUCACCUCAGUGUACUUGCGAGUCUUGAGACCACAGUCAGGGUUAACCCACAAAAUGUUGGUUUCUAGCACAGUACGCAUCUCGUAGAUUCUGUCAACAAUUUCUUCGGUUGAUGGUAUUCUUGGAGAGUGGAUGUCAUAGACGCCAGGGCCAAUUGCAGCAUCAUACUGGACUCCCUCACGGAAGACUGACAGGAGAUUCUCAUUAGAACGAGAGUUCUCAAUGGUGAUCACAUCAGCAUCCAUGUCGAUAAUUGAGUGGAUAAUGUCGUUGAAGUUGGAGUAGCACAUGUGGGUGUGGAUCUGUCAAUCAAUAAACAAUAGAAUGAGAUACAAAAUCAACAGCUAAAUUAAAGAGAUGAGAUUGGAGAUUAAAAGGGUAACUGACCUGGGUAGUGUCCUGGAUGCCACAGUUGGUGAUUCUGAAGGAGUGGACUGCCCAGUCCAAGUAGAAAGCAUGCUCAGAUUUCCUGAGAGGCAAUCCUUCCCUCAAGGCAGCCUCAUCAAUUUGAAUAACGUUAAUGCCUGCCUUCUCAAGAUCCUCGACUUCGUCCUUGAUGGCCAAAGCAAUCUGGUAGCAGGUUUCAUGUCUGCAAAAUUGGCAGCGAUUGAUGUUAAACAAUGUUUCCAUUCCAAAAGGUUAACCAAUAGUGAACCAGUUCUCAUUUAUAUACCUGGGCUGGUCAUUUCUGACAAAGGACCAGUUGAGAAUGGUGACAGGGCCAGUAAGCAUUCCCUUCAUUGGGCGAGCAGUCAUGCUCUGAGCCCAGGAGGACCAGAAGACGGUCAUAGCCUUGGGACGGCUCACAUCACCAUAGAUGAUGGGUGGCUUCACACAGCGAGAUCCAUAGGAUUGCACCCACCCAUUGGCAGUGAAGGCGAAACCUGAUAACUGCUCUCCAAAGUACUCAACCAUGUCGUUUCUCUACAAAAACAAAUGUCCGAAUUCAAUUUGAGAUCCAGCAUACUUCGUAUGCAAUUAGAAAUGCAGAAACAAAAAUGUAUAAAAUUUUAUGUAAUUCAAAACCAGGAGACAUUGCUUUGCUUCCAUUGGGCAUUGCGAGACUCACCUCAGGCUCUCCAUGGACAAGGACAUCAAUAUCAAGCUCUUCUUGGAGUUUGACAACCUUGUUGAUUUCCUCCUUGAUGGAAGCAACAUAUUCUUCCUCAGAAAUCCUAAAAAGGACAAAUAGUCACGGCACAGUUAAUACAGUAGUUGCAGUAAUUUCACACAUGGCAUUGAAUGAAGAAACACCUCAGAUUGACUCACUUCUUAGCCUUGUAUUCACGGCGGACUCUCCUAAGUUCAAUGGUUUGUGGGAAGGAUCCAAUUGUGGUGGUUGGGAGGAUUGGAAGAUUGAGCUUCUUCUGUUGAGCAUCUAAUCUAGCACUAACGUUUGUAGCACGUCUGUGGUCUGAUCCCCUCAAAGCAGCAGCCUAAUAGACCAAGAGGAAGGAAUCACUGUUAGCAAAAAAGGAAAUUCUAAGGGACAGCCACAUCAUAAAAAUGGAAAACAAAUCAAUCAUGCCACUUACAGCCUUUUGAACUGCCUCAUUGGUCACUCUCGGGGAGGACUUUCUUGAAGCCUGAGCUGCAGCAUUGGCAGAGAAGAAUCCCUGGAAACAAAUGAUAAGGAGAACCAAAGUUAGUCUCAUUCAUAUCAUUUUAAAAAGAAGAUACAUAUGCAAUUAGUGGGCUGAUUGUGAGAGAAAAAGUCCCCAAAACUUUAAUCAAACACCAAAUGCCCAAGUUGCCAAAUGAUGUUUAAUUCGGAAAAAUAUAUUUAAAAACAUUCAAAUAUAAUUUCCCCUUCUAAAUUUUCAUUUUCAACAACAUAUUUUACAAGCCAAGCUCAACGUCAGGCCAAGAUUUUGUGCUCCUAUAAUUAUAUUUUACCAUAAAACUAGGUCCUUGAAAGGCUAAGAUUUUCUGACUCUUGUGACUAGUCAAAGCCUAAGAUUCUUUCAAUUCAUCCGUAGUAAAAGUAUACCUCAUCCUUUUGGCCAGCCAAAGCCUUGGCCAAUGCAUUGACUUCAACAACUUUCUGGGCAGCAAAUGCCAGCCAUGACUUGAUUUCGUCGUCGAGUUUGUUCUCAUUAACAAGAUCAACAGCAGUGUGAAGAAGUGAGCAGGAGGUGGAGACCACAAGCUUGUCUGCAAAGAAAAGUAAUAAAUUAUACAACAAAUCCCAUAAUAGAAUAAGAAAUAUUUAUCACAAAGAAAAAUGCAAGCAAAGGAUGUAUACCUUUGCCAACAACACCCUCAAGCCCCCGGAGAACACUAAGAGAAGCAGCAAGAUCAUUGGCCCAAAUGUUCCUUCCAUCAACCACUCCAGCAAAGAGGUACUUGCCAGCAGGGAAUCCACUCUUGAUCAAUUCAAGGGUCUUGGUUCCACGAACCAAAUCAAAUCCAUAAGCGGUGACACCCUUCAAAGAAGUGAGGGUCUGGAAUGCCUCAGCUGGAACAUCAGCAAAGUAGGUCUCAACAAGAACAUUCAAGCCAGAC
Molecule: long non-coding RNA, 30356 nt
Filed under: Citrus x clementina
Lineage: Eukaryota; Viridiplantae; Streptophyta; Magnoliopsida; Sapindales; Rutaceae
Description: Citrus clementina (C. clementina) long non-coding RNA (CCLE_LNC004581)
Source: RNAcentral